RNAcentral lists this ribosomal RNA (253 nucleotides) under uncultured bacterium. RNAcentral's name for it is "partial 16S ribosomal RNA". It matches the Rfam family "Bacterial small subunit ribosomal RNA", at positions 524 to 776 of the family's 1533-position model. The record is from RNAcentral.
GACAGAGGUGCCGAGCGUUAGGCGGAAUCACUGGGCUUAAAGCGUGUGUAGGCGGCCCGUUAAGUGCCUCGUGAAAUCCCCCGGCUCAACCGGGGAACUGCCGGGCAUACUGGCGGGCUUGGGUCGCUCAGGGGCAGACGGAACAGGCGGUGGAGCGGUGAAAUGCGUAGAGAUCGGAAAGAACACCAACGGCGAAAGCACUCUGCUGGGCCGACACUGACACUGAGAGACGAAAGCUAGGGGAGCGAAUGGG